GAGGGCGUGGAGGGAGAGGCAGGCAGAGACUCAGGGCUCUGGCAAGCUGGCGGAGGUCCCCUUGGGGGGGGUCACGCCUCCCGGAGCUCAGGGACCCCUGAGCUUGAACACAUUCCCGGUGCGGCCCUCUGCACAGGGCCCGGCUGUCUCCCAGUUCAUCCGCCGAGGCAGCAGCAGUGGACUCAUCCAUCGUGGAGGAAGCCCCCCGGACCCCAGAGACCCUGGGAACACUGGCCCCAGCCUGCUCCUAGGAGGAGCCUCUGAGCCAAUCCUUGCCCCCCACCCACAGCCCCCUCCCUCCUUUGUCUUCGGCAGACAAUCACCUGAUGGCGGCUUCUCCAGGUCAGUGCUUGGCUCUGAAGGGGUUGCAAGAAUGACACACAACACGGUUCCUGCCUUCAAAAUGCCUCCCAUCUGCUUAGAAAGAUAGAGCGUCCACACAGGCAGAAUGAUCUAUGGGGCAUUCUAGAAAGACAACUACACACAGAAGGUGCCUUGCACUCGGAAUCCCACGGGCACCUGAAGCCCUGCACACAGUUACUCCAUGCGUGGCCUCCACGCUGGGAACCCGCCUAGGUUACUGGGAAGAAACUGUCCCAGCCCCACACCCUCAGCUCCCCCACAACCUACGUCAGAAUUCGUGAGGGUAGAUCCCUGCUGAAUACCUGAUAUACCCACUCGAGGUGGG
Molecule: long non-coding RNA, 688 nt
Filed under: Equus asinus (donkey)
Lineage: Eukaryota; Metazoa; Chordata; Mammalia; Perissodactyla; Equidae
Description: lncRNA (ENSEASG00005036328.1)
Source: RNAcentral